Molecule: ribosomal RNA, 253 nt
Filed under: uncultured bacterium
Lineage: Bacteria
Description: partial 16S ribosomal RNA
Rfam family: Bacterial small subunit ribosomal RNA
Source: RNAcentral
GACGAGGGGUCCUAGCGUUGUUCGGAAUCACUGGGCGUAAAGCGCAUGUAGGCGGCCUAGUAAGUCGGAUGUGAAAGCCCUGGGCUUAACCCAGGAAGUGCAUCCGAAACUGCUGAGCUUGAAUAUGAGAGAGGGCAGUGGAAUUCCUGGUGUAGUGGUGAAAUACGUAGAUAUCAGGAGGAACACCGGCGGCGAAGGCGGCUGCCUGGCUCAAUAUUGACGCUGAGAUGCGAAAGCGUGGGGAUCAAACAGG